Molecule: long non-coding RNA, 586 nt
Filed under: Lepisosteus oculatus (spotted gar)
Lineage: Eukaryota; Metazoa; Chordata; Actinopteri; Semionotiformes; Lepisosteidae
Description: lncRNA (ENSLOCG00000021890.1)
Source: RNAcentral
AUCAGAAAAAGGUAUUUUCCAUUUGGAACUCUGAAUCCAGUUGGUUUCCGGUUCCAGUACAUUAAGGGAAUUGACAUUGAUGGUACUACUCUUUUUGCCACAGAUACAGACAGCUGCAGAGUCCUGGGUCAAGCCCUAGUGACUGCUGGAAGGUGCUGAGGGCUGCAAAGAGAGACGUGGAGUGGAACUAGAGAAGAUGCACACUUCUGAAGACAUCAUCAUGCCUGAGCAGCUUCUUGUGCUGUAUUACCUACGAGCUAUUCUCCAGCUGAAGCACCUACAGCACCAAGGGGUGAUAAAGAAUAUGAUAAUAUUUCACCUUUACUUCACUAAACUAUGCUGUACUGCCACAAAGAGCAUCUGUGGAACAGAGACUGAAUUUUUUUUCAUUUCGUCUGUGGGGGAGCCAAUUUAUAGUCCUUCCAACGACCUGCGGAGACUGCAUGAGAAAUACCACCUCCCAUUUAUCACCAGCCAGGCUGCCAGGAGGGAAUUUGAGACGGCCACAAAGAGGCUCACAGAUGCACAGGAGAGCAUCGUGGUGAAUUAUCUGGCCCACUCAGAUGGUAUUGCAGAGAAAUACUAG